GAAAACGGGUUCUGGAUGAUCGAAGAACAAGCGGUGGAGAAGAAGGUGGCAGGGACGGCUGCCUAGGGUUCUAAGGGUUGGGCGGCGGGGGGCCUCAUCCGGCCUAAGCUUGAGGCGGCGGCAGCUCGGCGCAGGGGCGCCUCGCGGCGGAAGGAGAGGGGUUCGGGUGGGCCGAGGGUCCAAAGGGGAGUGCCGCCGGCGACGUAGGUAGGUAGGUAGGCCUUCUGCGGCCGCGCCGGCGGCGCAGAGGAGGAGGUCCAUUAUAAGAUGACAUGCCUCGUGUAACUUUCUACCAAUUACGUUAGUUCCCCAACAAGUAGAGGACACUGUAUGGCUACCGAGUCAAGUAACAAUUAUACUUACGCAGUUACGGGCGUAGUCUCUUCAAGUAGCACGUGUAAGAACUGGGGUGUGUGUACAAAUAGGUCGGAUUAUACCCUCUAAUGUAGUUUUCAUUCUACCGCCUCAAGUCUCUGGUCUUGUCGAUGCUCUUCGGCUGUACUUCCCGGUGGUAGGUAAUGGCGCCACGAUCGAAGUUUGAGGUAGGUCUCUAUGGAUACAACUAAUAGCGAUACAUCUUACCAAUAUACGACUCUGACUUGUAAUACAAAGUGAGAGAGCACUACAAGACCUUACUGUCAAGACAUCAUAGUGUCUCAAGACGCAGAAUACAUAGAAGGCUCACUCGGAAAUCGACUAUUAUAAAGACCACUACAACUAGAACUAUGGCACGUGACUUAUUUCAUGGUGAAGAAUACAUAAUAAUGGGAACAGUUCUACAAGCCAUUCGAUUAAUGACCUCGAGACCUAUCUCGGUUCAUCUUCGAAAUGAUUGUAACGAAAGGUUUCAGUUUUGUAACGA
Molecule: ribosomal RNA, 862 nt
Filed under: Triticum aestivum (bread wheat)
Lineage: Eukaryota; Viridiplantae; Streptophyta; Magnoliopsida; Poales; Poaceae
Description: partial small subunit ribosomal RNA
Source: RNAcentral